This 253-nucleotide ribosomal RNA is filed under the name uncultured bacterium. Its description in RNAcentral is "partial 16S ribosomal RNA". It matches the Rfam family "Bacterial small subunit ribosomal RNA", at positions 524 to 776 of the family's 1533-position model. The record is from RNAcentral.
UACAGAGGGUGCAAGCGUUGUUCGGAAUUAUUGGGCGUAAAGGGCGCGUAGGCGGUUCGGCAAGUCUCUAGUGAAAUCUCAGGGCUCAACUCUGAGUCUGCUGGGGAAACUGCCGGGCUUGAGUGUGGGAGAGGAGAGUGGAAUUCCCGGUGUAGAGGUGAAAUUCGUAGAUAUCGGGAGGAACACCGGUGGCGAAGGCGGCGACCUGGGUAGAUACUGACGCUGAGGCGCGAAAGCGUGGGGAGCAAACAGG